This 253-nucleotide ribosomal RNA is filed under the name uncultured bacterium. RNAcentral's name for it is "partial 16S ribosomal RNA". It matches the Rfam family "Bacterial small subunit ribosomal RNA", at positions 524 to 776 of the family's 1533-position model. The record is from RNAcentral.
UACGUAGGGUGCGAGCGUUGUCCGGAAUUAUUGGGCGUAAAGGGCUCGUAGGCGGUUUGUCGCGUCGGGAGUGAAAACCUCGGGCUUAACUCGGGGCUUGCUUUCGAUACGGGCAGACUGGAGGUAUGCAGGGGAGAACGGAAUUCCUGGUGUAGCGGUGAAAUGCGCAGAUAUCAGGAGGAACACCGGUGGCGAAGGCGGUUCUCUGGGCCGAUACUGACGCUGAGGAGCGAAAGCGUGGGGAGCAAACAGG